GCUGUGGCUCAGUGGCACAGCAUCGGCUUUGCAUACAGAGGUUCCCAGGUUCAAUCCCUGGUAUCUCCA
Molecule: transfer RNA, 69 nt
Filed under: Sphaerodactylus townsendi
Lineage: Eukaryota; Metazoa; Chordata; Lepidosauria; Squamata; Sphaerodactylidae
Description: tRNA-Ala
Source: RNAcentral